RNAcentral lists this ribosomal RNA (253 nucleotides) under uncultured bacterium. RNAcentral describes it as "partial 16S ribosomal RNA". It matches the Rfam family "Bacterial small subunit ribosomal RNA", at positions 524 to 776 of the family's 1533-position model. The record is from RNAcentral.
UACGAAGGGGACUAGCGUUGUUCGGAAUUACUGGGCGUAAAGCGCACGUAGGCGGAUUUGUUAGUCAGGGGUGAAAUCCCGGAGCUCAACUUCGGAACUGCCCUUGAUACAGCACGUCUUGAGUCCGGAAGAGGUGGGUGGAAUUCCUAGUGUAGAGGUGAAAUUCGUAGAUAUUAGGAAGAACACCGGUGGCGAAGGCGGCCCACUGGUCCGGUACUGACGCUGAGGUGCGAAAGCGUGGGGAGCAAACAGG